Molecule: ribosomal RNA, 615 nt
Filed under: Triticum aestivum (bread wheat)
Lineage: Eukaryota; Viridiplantae; Streptophyta; Magnoliopsida; Poales; Poaceae
Description: partial small subunit ribosomal RNA
Source: RNAcentral
AUGGACCUUGGGCGCCUAAACUAUGGGAUCAUUACCCUCAUCCCCAAUGUCCCGGGGGCCUCCGACAUUCGCCAAUUCCGCCCGACGGUGAUCAACGUGAUCUUCGGGAUCUUGGCUAAAGGGUACGCCAAUAGGGUAACCCUUCUUGCGGACUUUGUCACCCACCCCAACCAAUCUGCCUUCAUCCAAGGUCAGUUUAUUUUGUAUGGGGUGCUGGUCUUUCAUGAGGUCCUCCACGAAGUCCGCUCCAAACACCAUCACGCGGUCUUCCUAAAGUUCGACUUCCACAAAGCCUACGACACUGUCCACUGGCCCUUCCUUCGGGAAGUUCUGCUUCGUAAGGGUUUCGACGACCGCUGGGUGACCUGCAUUAUGCAACUGGUCACCUGCGGUCAGACAACGGUCAACAUCAACGGCGAGAUCAGGCCUUACUUCCCUACCUUAUGUGGGGUUCGCCAGGGCGAUCCGUUCUCCCCGUUUCUAUUCAACAUGGUUGUCGAUGCCCUCGCGGUCAUUCUUGAUAAGGCCAAAGCUUGUGGCCAUCUCCGUGGCGUAGUCCCCCACCUUGUGGGUGGGGAGGGGUCUCCCUCCUCCAAUAUGUGGAUUACACCAUAG